AGUCGAGCGGUAGAGAGAAGCUUGCUUCUCUUGAGAGCGGCGGACGGGUGAGUAAUGCCUAGGAAUCUGCCUGGUAGUGGGGGAUAACGUUCGGAAACGGACGCUAAUACCGCAUACGUCCUACGGGAGAAAGCAGGGGACCUUCGGGCCUUGCGCUAUCAGAUGAGCCUAGGUCGGAUUAGCUAGUUGGUGAGGUAAUGGCUCACCAAGGCGACGAUCCGUAACUGGUCUGAGAGGAUGAUCAGUCACACUGGAACUGAGACACGGUCCAGACUCCUACGGGAGGCAGCAGUGGGGAAUAUUGGACAAUGGGCGAAAGCCUGAUCCAGCCAUGCCGCGUGUGUGAAGAAGGUCUUCGGAUUGUAAAGCACUUUAAGUUGGGAGGAAGGGUUGUARAUUAAUACUCUGCARUUUUGACGUUACCGACAGAAUAAGCACCGGCUAACUCUGUGCCAGCAGCCGCGGUAAUACAGAGGGUGCAAGCGUUAAUCGGAAUUACUGGGCGUAAAGCGCGCGUAGGUGGUUUGUUAAGUUGGAUGUGAAAUCCCCGGGCUCAACCUGGGAACUGCAUUCAAAACUGACUGACUAGAGUAUGGUAGAGGGUGGUGGAAUUUCCUGUGUAGCGGUGAAAUGCGUAGAUAUAGGAAG
RNAcentral lists this ribosomal RNA (648 nucleotides) under Pseudomonas sp. RNAcentral's name for it is "bacterial SSU rRNA". The record is from RNAcentral. Lineage: Bacteria; Pseudomonadati; Pseudomonadota; Gammaproteobacteria; Pseudomonadales; Pseudomonadaceae.